AGACCCGAAACCCGGUGAUCUAGCCAUGGGCAGGUUGAAGGUUGGGUAACACUAACUGGAGGACCGAACCGACUAAUGUUGAAAAAUUAGCGGAUGACCUGUGGCUGGGGGUGAAAGGCCAAUCAAACCGGGAGAUAGCUGGUUCUCCCCGAAAGCUAUUUAGGUAGCGCCUCGUGAAUUCAUCUCCGGGGGUAGAGCACUGUUUCGGCUAGGGGGCCAUCCCGGCUUACCAACCCGAUGCAAACUGCGAAUACCGGAGAAUGUUAUCACGGGAGACACACGGCGGGUGCUAACGUCCGUCGUGAAGAGGGAAACAACCCAGACCGCCAGCUAAGGUCCCAAAGUCAUGGUUAAGUGGGAAACGAUGUGGGAAGGCCCAGACAGCCAGGAUGUUGGCUUAGAAGCAGCCAUCAUUUAAAGAAAGCGUAAUAGCUCACUGGUCGAGUCGGCCUGCGCGGAAGAUGUAACGGGGCUAAACCAUGCACCGAAGCUGCGGCAGCGACGCUGAUGCGUUGUUGGGUAGGGGAGCGUUCUGUAAGCCUGCGAAGGUGGCCUGUGAGGGUUGCUGGAGGUAUCAGAAGUGCGAAUGCUGACAUAAGUAACGAUAAAGCGGGUGAAAAGCCCGCUCGCCGGAAGACCAAGGGUUCCUGUCCAACGUUAAUCGGGGCAGGGUGAGUCGACCCCUAAGGCGAGGCCGAAAGGCGUAGUCGAUGGGAAACGGGUUAAUAUUCCCGUACUUGGUGUUACUGCGAAGGGGGGACGGAGAAGGCUAUGUUGGCCGGGCGACGGUUGUCCCGGUUUAAGCGUGUAGGUGUGUGUUCCAGGUAAAUCCGGUUCACUUUAACACUGAGGCGUGACGACGAGGCACUACGGUGCUGAAGCAACAAAUGCCCUGCUUCCAGGAAAAGCCUCUAAGCAUCAGGUAACAUCAAAUCGUACCCCAAACCGACACAGGUGGUCAGGUAGAGAAUACCAAGGCGCUUGAGAGAACUCGGGUGAAGGAACUAGGCAAAAUGGUGCCGUAACUUCGGGAGAAGGCACGCUGACACGUAGGUGAAGUGAUUUACUCA
This 1070-nucleotide ribosomal RNA is filed under the name Salmonella enterica. RNAcentral describes it as "partial 23S ribosomal RNA". It matches the Rfam family "Bacterial large subunit ribosomal RNA", at positions 711 to 1772 of the family's 2925-position model. The record is from RNAcentral. Lineage: Bacteria; Pseudomonadati; Pseudomonadota; Gammaproteobacteria; Enterobacterales; Enterobacteriaceae.